CAAUAGCGUAUACUAAUGUUGUUGCAGUUAAAAGCUCGUAGUCGGAUUUCAGUUUUAUGACACCUCUCUUUUUGAGUUGGUUGUUGUUUACUUCAUUGGUACCAACCUUCAUCUGAUUAAUUUCCGGUGUCUGGCUAGUAUCUCUUUUACUUUGAGAAAAUUAGAGUGUUCAAAGCAGGUUUUCGCCUGAAUAUUACUCUUGGAAUAAUACUAUAGGACCUGUGGUCUAAAAUUGUUGGUGUUUUUGGACCGGGGUAAUGAUUGAUAGGGACGGUUGGGGUCAUUCCUACUGCAAAGCGAGAGGUGGAAUUCUUGGACCUUUGUAUGAUGAACAACUGCGAAAGCAUUUGACUAGGACGUUCCCGUUGAUCAAGAACGAAAGUUGGGGGAUCGAAGAUGAUUAGAUACCAU
This 411-nucleotide ribosomal RNA is filed under the name uncultured eukaryote. RNAcentral's name for it is "bacterial SSU rRNA". It matches the Rfam family "Eukaryotic small subunit ribosomal RNA", at positions 592 to 1018 of the family's 1831-position model. The record is from RNAcentral.